This 74-nucleotide transfer RNA is filed under the name Ackermannviridae sp. RNAcentral describes it as "tRNA-Met". It matches the Rfam family "tRNA". Rfam says of the family: Transfer RNA (tRNA) molecules are approximately 80 nucleotides in length. Lineage: Duplodnaviria; Heunggongvirae; Uroviricota; Caudoviricetes; Pantevenvirales; Ackermannviridae. The record is from RNAcentral.
GUUCCAAUAGCUCAGUCGGUAAGAGCAACUGACUCAUAAUCAGUAGGUCGUAGGUUCAAUCCCUACUUGGAACA